RNAcentral lists this ribosomal RNA (465 nucleotides) under uncultured Klebsiella sp. Its description in RNAcentral is "bacterial SSU rRNA". It matches the Rfam family "Bacterial small subunit ribosomal RNA", at positions 338 to 795 of the family's 1533-position model. Lineage: Bacteria; Pseudomonadati; Pseudomonadota; Gammaproteobacteria; Enterobacterales; Enterobacteriaceae. The record is from RNAcentral.
CCUACGGGCGGCAGCAGUGGGGAAUAUUGCACAAUGGGCGCAAGCCUGAUGCAGCCAUGCCGCGUGUGUGAAGAAGGCCUUCGGGUUGUAAAGCACUUUCAGCGGGGAGGAAGGCGGUGAGGUUAAUAACCUCAUCGAUUGACGUUACCCGCAGAAGAAGCACCGGCUAACUCCGUGCCAGCAGCCGCGGUAAUACGGAGGGUGCAAGCGUUAAUCGGAAUUACUGGGCGUAAAGCGCACGCAGGCGGUCUGUCAAGUCGGGUGUGAAAUCCCCGGGCUCAACCUGGGAACUGCAUUCGAAACUGGCAGGCUAGAGUCUUGUAGAGGGGGGUAGAAUUCCAGGUGUAGCGGUGAAAUGCGUAGAGAUCUGGAGGAAUACCGGUGGCGAAGGCGGCCCCCUGGACAAAGACUGACGCUCAGGUGCGAAAGCGUGGGGAGCAAACAGGAUUAGAUACCCUAGUAGUC